UAGCUAAUACCGCAUAACGUCGCAAGACCAAAGAGGGGGACCUUCGGGCCUCUUGCCAUCGGAUGUGCCCAGAUGGGAUUAGCUAGUAGGUGGGGUAACGGCUCACCUAGGCGACGAUCCCUAGCUGGUCUGAGAGGAUGACCAGCCACACUGGAACUGAGACACGGUCCAGACUCCUACGGGAGGCAGCAGUGGGGAAUAUUGCACAAUGGGCGCAAGCCUGAUGCAGCCAUGCCGCGUGUAUGAAGAAGGCCUUCGGGUUGUAAAGUACUUUCAGCGGGGAGGAAGGGAGUAAAGUUAAUACCUUUGCUCAUUGACGUUACCCGCAGAAGAAGCACCGGCUAACUCCGUGCCAGCAGCCGCGGUAAUACGGAGGGUGCAAGCGUUAAUCGGAAUUACUGGGCGUAAAGCGCACGCAGGCGGUUUGUUAAGUCAGAUGUGAAAUCCCCGGGCUCAACCUGGGAACUGCAUCUGAUACUGG
Molecule: ribosomal RNA, 481 nt
Filed under: Escherichia coli
Lineage: Bacteria; Pseudomonadati; Pseudomonadota; Gammaproteobacteria; Enterobacterales; Enterobacteriaceae
Description: bacterial SSU rRNA
Rfam family: Bacterial small subunit ribosomal RNA
Source: RNAcentral